Molecule: ribosomal RNA, 625 nt
Filed under: uncultured bacterium
Lineage: Bacteria
Description: bacterial SSU rRNA
Rfam family: Bacterial small subunit ribosomal RNA
Source: RNAcentral
AGAGUUUGAUCAUGGCUCAGGAUGAACGCUAGCGGGAGGCUUAAUACAUGCAAGUCGAGGGGCAGCAUGGGGCUUCGGCCCUGAUGGCGACCGGCGCACGGGUGAGUAACGCGUUACGAAACCUGCCUCCAAGCGGGGAAUAGCCCCGGGAAACUGGGAUUAAUGCCCCAUAGCACUGCACUGCCGCCUGGCAGAGCAGUUAAAGCUGCGGCGCUUGGAGAUGGUCGCGCGUCCCAUUAGCUAGUUGGCGGGGUAACGGCCCACCAAGGCGACGAUGGGUAGGGGGCGUGAGAGCGUGGCCCCCCACACGGGUACUGAGACACGGACCCGACUCCUACGGGAGGCAGCAGUAAGGAAUAUUGGACAAUGGGGGCAACCCUGAUCCAGCCAUCCCGCGUGCAGGAUGACGGCCCUACGGGUUGUAAACUGCUUUUGCGAGGGUAGAAACGACGCUAUUCGUAGUGUUUUGACGGUACCUCGAGAAUAAGCACCGGCUAACUCCGUGCCAGCAGCCGCGGUAAUACGGAGGGUGCAAGCGUUAUCCGGAAUCACUGGGUUUAAAGGGUGCGUAGGCGGGCAUGUAAGUCAGAGGUGAAAGGCCAUCGCUCAACGAUGGAAUUGCCUU